This 503-nucleotide ribosomal RNA is filed under the name uncultured bacterium. RNAcentral describes it as "partial 16S ribosomal RNA". It matches the Rfam family "Bacterial small subunit ribosomal RNA", at positions 30 to 523 of the family's 1533-position model. The record is from RNAcentral.
AUUGAACGCUGGCGGCAGGCUUAACACAUGCAAGUCGAGCGGGGUGAUGGUGCUUGCACUAUCACUUAGCGGCGGACGGGUGAGUAAUGCUUAGGAAUCUGCCUAUUAGUGGGGGACAGCAUCUCGAAAGGGAUGCUAAUACCGCAUACGUCCUACGGGAGAAAGCAGGGGAUCACUUGUGACCUUGCGCUAAUAGAUGAGCCUAAGUCGGAUUAGCUAGUUGGUGGGGUAAAGGCCUACCAAGGCGACGAUCUGUAGCGGGUCCGAGAGGAUGAUCCGCCACACUGGGACUGGGACACGGCCCAGACUCCUACGGGAGGCAGCAGUGGGGAAUAUUGGACAAUGGGGGGAACCCUGAUCCAGCCAUGCCGCGUGUGUGAAGAAGGCCUUAUGGUUGUAAAGCACUUUAAGCGAGGAGGAGGCUCUUUUGGUUAAUACCCAAGAUGAGUGGACGUUACUCGCAGAAUAAGCACCGGCUAACUCUGUGCCAGCCGCCGCUGUAA